GCCCCGGUGGUGCAGUGGUUAAAUGCCUGUACUGCAGCCAACCAUAAGGUUGUGGGUUCAAUACCAGCCAGGGGCU
Molecule: transfer RNA, 76 nt
Filed under: Phrynosoma platyrhinos (Desert horned lizard)
Lineage: Eukaryota; Metazoa; Chordata; Lepidosauria; Squamata; Phrynosomatidae
Description: tRNA-OTHER
Source: RNAcentral